Molecule: transfer RNA, 72 nt
Organism: Vittaforma corneae ATCC 50505
Lineage: Eukaryota; Fungi; Microsporidia; Nosematidae
Rfam family: tRNA
About the family: Transfer RNA (tRNA) molecules are approximately 80 nucleotides in length. Their secondary structure includes four short double-helical elements and three loops (D, anti-codon, and T loops).
Source: Rfam
UCUCCGAUGGUGCAGUGGUUAACAUAUCAGCCUGUCACGCUGGGGACCCGAGUUCAAUUCUCGGUCGGAGAG